Molecule: ribosomal RNA, 461 nt
Filed under: uncultured bacterium
Lineage: Bacteria
Description: partial 16S ribosomal RNA
Rfam family: Bacterial small subunit ribosomal RNA
Source: RNAcentral
GAUGAACGCUGGCGGCGUGCCUAACACAUGCAAGUCGAGCGGCAGCGCGGUCUUCGGACUGGCGGCGAGCGGCGGACGGCUGAGUAACGCGUGGGAACGUGCCCCAAAGUGAGGGAUAAGCACCAGAAAUGGUGUCUAAUACCGCAUAUGGUCUUCGGAUUAAAGCUUCGGCGCUUUGGGAGCGGCCCGCGUCUGAUUAGAUAGUUGGUGAGGUAAAGGCUCACCAAGUCGACGAUCAGUAGCUGGUCUGAGAGGAUGAUCAGCCAGACUGGAACUGAGACACGGUCCAGACUCCUACGGGAGGCAGCAGUGAGGAAUCUUCCACAAUGGGGGCAACCCUGAUGGAGCAACGCCGCGUGCAGGAUGAAGGCCUUCGGGUCGUAAACUGCUUUUAUUAGCGAAGAAUAUGACGGUAACUAAUGAAUAAGGGUCGGCUAACUACGUGCCAGCCGCCGCGGUAA